GGAUCUGACAUUUUGUAGCCUUUGUGCCUGGGCUGCUCCAAAAUCUGAGGUUUUAAGGAGCAACAGGAGCUGGCUGGACCUAGUGAACUUUCAGUUUAUGCCCUGCGUUUGGGACCAGGAGAGGAAAUCGUCACCUCUUUGUUAAAAUUUGUGGAGGAUAAGCAGCUAAAAGCUCCAUUUGUCAUGACUUGUGUGGGCAGCAUCACCAAAGCAACGCUGAGACUGGCAAAUGCCACUGCUUUGAAUACUAAUCAGGAUCUAACCUUGUGCCCAUUUCCCUGAUAGUCAGUCCUAAGAACCGUCUGGAGCCUGAAGCACUUUUUAUUUCAGCAAUCUUCAGCUCUACUUUCUGCAAGUUGAUCCAGAUGUCUGCAACACCCUGUCUCACCUGCCAGGCAAGAAGCAGCUUCUGUAGAUGGAAGCUACCCAGGGAAAGAUGAUGCAGUGUUUCUUAUCCAGAACCGGAGUCUCAUCUCAUCAAUCACGAGAACGUGAAGAAGCCCCAGUGACCUGUGUCAGAGCAAGGUGCUGUUCACCAGGAGAAAGGGAGGGCAGAGCCUAGCCAUGAAUUAAACUUGCUUCUGCUUUUCCCAUUUAUGGAUUCUUUGUCACUUCUAUUUUCUUUCACAGUCUCCCCCCACCCCUCACAGUCCCUCUGAUGGCACUCAGUGUGGAGCUUUGGCAAGUAGCUUCUCUUGCCUGUUUCCCUCCCAACUCCUGCCCUGUGCUCUGAGAAUGGUCACAGAGUGAUACAGCCUGUUUUUUA
Molecule: RNA transcript, 766 nt
Organism: Alligator sinensis (Chinese alligator)
Lineage: Eukaryota; Metazoa; Chordata; Crocodylia; Alligatoridae
Gene name: bifunctional protein GlmU-like
Exons: 4
Source: RefSeq, a predicted model, not a curated record